This 240-nucleotide ribosomal RNA is filed under the name uncultured bacterium. RNAcentral's name for it is "partial 16S small subunit ribosomal RNA". It matches the Rfam family "Bacterial small subunit ribosomal RNA", at positions 438 to 670 of the family's 1533-position model. The record is from RNAcentral.
GGCAGGGAAGAAAUGUCGAAUAUUAAUACCAUUCGGCGAUGACGGUACCUGCAGAAUAAGCACCGGCUAACUACGUGCCAGCAGCCGCGGUAAUACGUAGGGUGCAAGCGUUAAUCGGAAUUACUGGGCGUAAAGCGUGCGCAGGCGGUUGGAUAAGACAGGUGUGAAAUUCCCGGGCUCAACCUGGGAACUGCAUUUGUGACUGUUCGACUAGAGUGCGGCAGAGGGGAAUGGAAUUCC